RNAcentral lists this ribosomal RNA (393 nucleotides) under uncultured bacterium. RNAcentral's name for it is "partial 16S ribosomal RNA". It matches the Rfam family "Bacterial small subunit ribosomal RNA", at positions 523 to 918 of the family's 1533-position model. The record is from RNAcentral.
AUACGGAAGGUCCGGGCGUUAUCCGGAUUUAUUGGGUUUAAAGGGAGCGCAGGCGGAGAUGCAAGCGUGACGUCAAAUUUCGGGGCUCAACCCCGUCUCGCGUCGCGAACUGCGUCCCUUGGUUGCGGGAAGGGGAGGCGGAACUCGUGGUGUAGCGGUGAGAUGCAUAGAUAUCACGAAGAACUCCGAUCGCGAAGGCAGCCUUCCGGCCCGUCAACGACGCUCAUGCUCGAAGGUGCGGGUAUCAAACAGGAUUAGAUACCCUGGUAGUCCGCACAGUAAACGAUGGACACCCGCGGUUUGGCCUGUAUGGCUGAGCCGCCAAGCGAAAGCGUUAAGUGUCCCACCUGGGGAGUACGCCGGCAACGGUGAAACUCAAAUGAAUUGACGGGG